GACGAACGCUGGCGGCGUGCCUAACACAUGCAAGUCGAACGGGGUUGAGCCCUUCGGGACUCAACUUAGUGGCGAACGGGUGAGUAACGCGUGAGAAACCUGCCUUUCAGUGGGGGACAACAGUUGGAAACGACUGCUAAUACCGCAUAAUGUAUUUUGGGGGCAUCCCUUUAAUACCAAAGCUUUAUGUGCUGAAAGAUGGUCUCGCGUCUGAUUAGAUAGUUGGUGAGGUAACGGCUCACCAAGUCGACGAUCAGUAGCCGGUCUGAGAGGAUGAACGGCCACAUUGGGACUGAGAUACGGCCCAGACUCCUACGGGAGGCAGCAGUGGGGAAUAUUGGGCAAUGGGGGGAAACCCUGACCCAGCAACGCCGCGUGAAGGAAGAAGGCCUUCGGGUUGUAACUUACUUUACCUACGGACGGAAGUAACGU
RNAcentral lists this ribosomal RNA (432 nucleotides) under uncultured bacterium. RNAcentral describes it as "bacterial SSU rRNA". It matches the Rfam family "Bacterial small subunit ribosomal RNA", at positions 28 to 457 of the family's 1533-position model. The record is from RNAcentral.